UUAAGCGACUAAGCGUACACGGUGGAUGCCCUGGCAGUCAGAGGCGAUGAAGGACGUGCUAAUCUGCGAUAAGCGUCGGUAAGGUGAUAUGAACCGUUAUAACCGGCGAUUUCCGAAUGGGGAAACCCAGUGUGUUUCGACACACUAUCAUUAACUGAAUCCAUAGGUUAAUGAGGCGAACCGGGGGAACUGAAACAUCUAAGUACCCCGAGGAAAAGAAAUCAACCGAGAUUCCCCCAGUAGCGGCGAGCGAACGGGGAGCAGCCCAGAGCCUGAAUCAGUGUGUGUGUUAGUGGAAGCGUCUGGAAAGGCGCGCGAUACAGGGUGACAGCCCCGUACACAAAAAUGCACAUGCUGUGAGCUCGAUGAGUAGGGCGGGACACGUGGUAUCCUGUCUGAAUAUGGGGGGACCAUCCUCCAAGGCUAAAUACUCCUGACUGACCGAUAGUGAACCAGUACCGUGAGGGAAAGGCGAAAAGAACCCCGGCGAGGGGAGUGAAAAAGAACCUGAAACCGUGUACGUACAAGCAGUGGGAGCACGCUUAGGCGUGUGACUGCGUACCUUUUGUAUAAUGGGUCAGCGACUUAUAUUCUGUAGCAAGGUUAACCGAAUAGGGGAGCCGAAGGGAAACCGAGUCUUAACUGGGCGUUAAGUUGCAGGGUAUAGACCCGAAACCCGGUGAUCUAGCCAUGGGCAGGUUGAAGGUUGGGUAACACUAACUGGAGGACCGAACCGACUAAUGUUGAAAAAUUAGCGGAUGACUUGUGGCUGGGGGUGAAAGGCCAAUCAAACCGGGAGAUAGCUGGUUCUCCCCGAAAGCUAUUUAGGUAGCGCCUCGUGAAUUCAUCUCCGGGGGUAGAGCACUGUUUCGGCAAGGGGGUCAUCCCGACUUACCAACCCGAUGCAAACUGCGAAUACCGGAGAAUGUUAUCACGGGAGACACACGGCGGGUGCUAACGUCCGUCGUGAAGAGGGAAACAACCCAGACCGCCAGCUAAGGUCCCAAAGUCAUGGUUAAGUGGGAAACGAUGUGGGAAGGCCCAGACAGCCAGGAUGUUGGCUUAGAAGCAGCCAUCAUUUAAAGAAAGCGUAAUAGCUCACUGGUCGAGUCGGCCUGCGCGGAAGAUGUAACGGGGCUAAACCAUGCACCGAAGCUGCGGCAGCGACGCUUAUGCGUUGUUGGGUAGGGGAGCGUUCUGUAAGCCUGCGAAGGUGUGCUGUGAGGCAUGCUGGAGGUAUCAGAAGUGCGAAUGCUGACAUAAGUAACGAUAAAGCGGGUGAAAAGCCCGCUCGCCGGAAGACCAAGGGUUCCUGUCCAACGUUAAUCGGGGCAGGGUGAGUCGACCCCUAAGGCGAGGCCGAAAGGCGUAGUCGAUGGGAAACAGGUUAAUAUUCCUGUACUUGGUGUUACUGCGAAGGGGGGACGGAGAAGGCUAUGUUGGCCGGGCGACGGUUGUCCCGGUUUAAGCGUGUAGGCUGGUUUUCCAGGCAAAUCCGGAAAAUCAAGGCUGAGGCGUGAUGACGAGGCACUACGGUGCUGAAGCAACAAAUGCCCUGCUUCCAGGAAAAGCCUCUAAGCAUCAGGUAACAUCAAAUCGUACCCCAAACCGACACAGGUGGUCAGGUAGAGAAUACCAAGGCGCUUGAGAGAACUCGGGUGAAGGAACUAGGCAAAAUGGUGCCGUAACUUCGGGAGAAGGCACGCUGAUAUGUAGGUGAGGUCCCUCGCGGAUGGAGCUGAAAUCAGUCGAAGAUACCAGCUGGCUGCAACUGUUUAUUAAAAACACAGCACUGUGCAAACACGAAAGUGGACGUAUACGGUGUGACGCCUGCCCGGUGCCGGAAGGUUAAUUGAUGGGGUUAGCGCAAGCGAAGCUCUUGAUCGAAGCCCCGGUAAACGGCGGCCGUAACUAUAACGGUCCUAAGGUAGCGAAAUUCCUUGUC
This 1945-nucleotide ribosomal RNA is filed under the name human gut metagenome. RNAcentral describes it as "bacterial LSU rRNA". It matches the Rfam family "Bacterial large subunit ribosomal RNA", at positions 1 to 1973 of the family's 2925-position model. The record is from RNAcentral.